This 721-nucleotide long non-coding RNA is filed under the name Polistes fuscatus (common paper wasp). RNAcentral describes it as "uncharacterized LOC122520063". Lineage: Eukaryota; Metazoa; Arthropoda; Insecta; Hymenoptera; Vespidae. The record is from RNAcentral.
AGGAUCGAUGAAGAGAAUAAUAAAAUCGUGGAUUGGAUGAGAGAAUUGAUCUCGACUGACUACGAACGAACACUUGAUAAAACGUUUCUUAUACACUUUCUCGAAGUUAUAAUAUUUGUGUUUUGAAUUCCUCUCAACACUCGGGGGUAUUACAUAAUAUUUAAGCGAAAGAGAGAAAUAACAGCGUGCGUUAGAUCUCUCCCAGAGAUUCUAGAAGAUCUAGACGUUCUAACACGAGUUUACAACGAACGAACGAACGAACAAGGCAAGAAGAACUCUCAAAAGACGAAAUGUAUUUUGCUUGUGAAAGUAAAAACGAUUUCUCGAAAAGCUGUAAUAGUUUAAAGCGAACUCAAUCGAUUCCGGGUAACGCGUCUCUUAGAUAUCUCGCGACAAAUUAAUCGAAUACCUUCGUUAGAUCGUGUGAGAAAAAAACUAGCCGAGGAAUUCCGUGCUCGCAAGCUUGGAUUCUUGUCGUAGCCCACGCGUGACAACGAGCCUUCUACCAACCAACAGAAAGAGACUCCACCACUCACUUUACUUCUCAAAGAAGGUUCUCAUCUCGAGUUUAGAUUCUAUCAUCAAAAACAAAACAAGUUUGAAAAGGACGAAUCGGCUCACGUGACACAUUCAAUAUGGCGGCCAGCGCGCGAAAACAACAAAGAUUCGAAAUCCCGUCGAAGAAAUCAAUGAAUAAAUUGAAAUAAUUUUGUCGAAUCUC